UAACGGCGAGUGAAGAGGGAAAAGCCCAAAUUUGUAAUCUGGCUCUUUUAUAAGGGUCCGAGUUGUAAUUUUGAGAACUGUUUUCCGUGCUGGACCAUGUACAAGUCUGUUGAAAAACAGCAUCAUUGAGGGUGAUAAUCCCGUACAUGAUAUGGACUACCAGGGCAAUGUGAUACAGUCUCUAAGAGUCGAGUUGUUUGGGAAUGCAGCUCAAAGUGGGUGGUAAAUUCCAUCUAAGGCUAAAUAUAGGUGAGAGACCGAUAGCAAACAAGUACCGUGAGGGAAAGAUGAAAAGAACUUUGGAAAGAGAGUUAACAGUACGUGAAAUUGUUAAAAGGGAAACAUUUGAAGUUACACUUGUUAUUGUUGGUUCAGCUCUUUUUUUAAGGGUGUAUUCCAAUGGUUAACAGACCAGCAUCAAUUUUUGGGUGUUAGAUAAGGGUCUUGAGAAUGUAGCAACUUUGGUUGUGUUAUAGAUCUUGACUUGAUAUAAUGCUUAGGAUUGAGGAACGCAGUGAGCUUCUUUUGAAGUGGAUGUUUUUAAUGUCUUCUCACUA
RNAcentral lists this ribosomal RNA (557 nucleotides) under Chrysomyxa woroninii. RNAcentral's name for it is "partial large subunit ribosomal RNA". It matches the Rfam family "Eukaryotic large subunit ribosomal RNA", at positions 84 to 647 of the family's 3401-position model. The record is from RNAcentral. Lineage: Eukaryota; Fungi; Basidiomycota; Pucciniomycetes; Pucciniales; Coleosporiaceae.